RNAcentral lists this long non-coding RNA (308 nucleotides) under Prunus persica (peach). RNAcentral's name for it is "long non-coding RNA (PPER_LNC000259)". The record is from RNAcentral. Lineage: Eukaryota; Viridiplantae; Streptophyta; Magnoliopsida; Rosales; Rosaceae.
GAAGCUGUUAGCGUUAUGUUCUUUCCCUCAUGUUGAAAAGUAUACGUGUUCUCUCUACCGCAACUUCUCACACAGCGGUCGUAAAGCCAUGGUCGGCCUAGUAGCACAUGUGCGACACUUAUGGGUAGGAUAUCACAAUAAAGUCGCUCAUGACAGGGACCCAAUUGAAGAGGAACAAGACAUCUUUCAGUAACAGGUAACCUGGUGUUAUCUACCCAGCCAACAUGAAAAGGAUGGGGAUGGGACUCGACCUGAAGGUGAAGGCGGUCGACAGCAGCUUUAGAGAUAACAUUCAGUGUACUUCCCCC